CCGAGUUUACAACUCCCAAACCCCUGUGAACAUACCUAUACGUUGCCUCGGCGGAUCAGCCCGCGCCCGGUAAAACGGGACGGCCCGCCAGAGGACCCCUAAACUCUGUUUCUUAGUGGAACUUCUGAGUAAAACAAUAAAUAAAUCA
This 148-nucleotide unclassified non-coding RNA is filed under the name soil metagenome. Its description in RNAcentral is "partial internal transcribed spacer 1". The record is from RNAcentral.